RNAcentral lists this ribosomal RNA (306 nucleotides) under uncultured Latescibacterota bacterium. RNAcentral describes it as "bacterial SSU rRNA". It matches the Rfam family "Bacterial small subunit ribosomal RNA", at positions 1078 to 1382 of the family's 1533-position model. The record is from RNAcentral. Lineage: Bacteria; Pseudomonadati; Candidatus Latescibacterota.
GGUUAAGUCCCGCAACGAGCGCAACCCUUAUCCCCAGUUGCCAUCAGGUAAAGACUGGGAACUCUGGGGAGACUGCCGGUGAUAAACCGGAGGAAGGCGGGGAUGACGUCAAGUCCUCAUGGCCCUUACAUCCCGGGCUACACACGUGCUACAAUGGCAGGUACAGAGGGCUGCGAAGCCGCGAGGUGGAGCGAAUCCCAGAAAACCUGUCUCAGUCCGGAUUGAAGUCUGCAACUCGACUUCAUGAAGUUGGAAUCGCUAGUAAUCGCGGAUCAGCAUGCCGCGGUGAAUACGUUCCCGGGCCUU